RNAcentral lists this ribosomal RNA (1104 nucleotides) under Salmonella enterica subsp. houtenae. RNAcentral's name for it is "partial 23S ribosomal RNA". It matches the Rfam family "Bacterial large subunit ribosomal RNA", at positions 161 to 1194 of the family's 2925-position model. Lineage: Bacteria; Pseudomonadati; Pseudomonadota; Gammaproteobacteria; Enterobacterales; Enterobacteriaceae. The record is from RNAcentral.
AAUCCAUAGGUUAAUGAGGCGAACCGGGGGAACUGAAACAUCUAAGUACCCCGAGGAAAAGAAAUCAACCGAGAUUCCCCCAGUAGCGGCGAGCGAACGGGGAGGAGCCCAGAGCCUGAAUCAGCAUGUGUGUUAGUGGAAGCGUCUGGAAAGGCGCGCGAUACAGGGUGAGAGCCCCGUACACAAAAGCGCACGUGCUGUGAGCUCGAUGAGUAGGGCGGGACACGUGGUAUCCUGUCUGAAUAUGGGGGGACCAUCCUCCAAGGCUAAAUACUCCUGACUGACCGAUAGUGAACCAGUACCGUGAGGGAAAGGCGAAAAGAACCCCGGCGAGGGGAGUGAAACAGAACCUGAAACCGUGUACGUACAAGCAGUGGGAGCCCCACCACCAAAGCGUUUCGCUUUGCGUGGUGCGCAAAAUGCGUAACGACAGCACGAUUGCGGUUAACGGAGCGUAAGCGACGUUCAACACAAAAAUCAGGCAGUGGAGCGUUUUGGGGUGGGGUGACUGCGUACCUUUUGUAUAAUGGGUCAGCGACUUAUAUUCUGUAGCAAGGUUAACCGCAUAGGGGAGCCGGAGGGAAACCGAGUCUUAAUUGGGCGUUAAGUUGCAGGGUAUAGACCCGAAACCCGGUGAUCUAGCCAUGGGCAGGUUGAAGGUUGGGUAACACUAACUGGAGGACCGAACCGACUAAUGUUGAAAAAUUAGCGGAUGACCUGUGGCUGGGGGUGAAAGGCCAAUCAAACCGGGAGAUAGCUGGUUCUCCCCGAAAGCUAUUUAGGUAGCGCCUCGUGAAUUCAUCUCCGGGGGUAGAGCACUGUUUCGGCCAGGGGGCCAUCCCGGCUUACCAAUCCGAUGCAAACUGCGAAUACCGGAGAAUGUUAUCACGGGAGACACACGGCGGGUGCUAACGUCCGUCGUGAAGAGGGAAACAACCCAGACCGCCAGCUAAGGUCCCAAAGUCAUGGUUAAGUGGGAAACGAUGUGGGAAGGCCCAGACAGCCAGGAUGUUGGCUUAGAAGCAGCCAUCAUUUAAAGAAAGCGUAAUAGCUCACUGGUCGAGUCGGCCUGCGCGGAAGAUGUAACGGGGCUAAACCAUGCAC